UUCCCCGAAUCUGUGAGUGCCUCUCCCUCGCGCACUCGAGCCGCCUUGCCCGGCGCCUCUCCAGCGAGCCCUAGCGCCUCUCCAGCGAGCCCUAGCGCCGACCACCGGAAGCCUCUACCUUCCUUCCCCUCUGAUCUGCGUGCCGAUCGCCACUGCCGCCGGUGACGCAAGGAGCAGCGCCGGUCAUCUUCCUCUCUUCUCCCGAUCGCGCCACUUUUCCUCGCCGGUACUCAAGCCGCCGCUGUGCCCUAGGUCUUUGCCGCCGGCCACCGCGAGUUCUAGCUGUCUUCACGGCUGUACUCCCCUCUUCUGCCCUGUGCCCUAGCCGUGAGCCACCCGAGCACCGCCGCACCUCUGCCCUAGGUGACGGCCAAAGGAGGAGAGGACCGUGCCCUAGUUGGGUUCACAGCCGCCGCCGCUCCUCUGCCCUAGCCUCAGCCGACGCCCCACUCCGAUGCCGACAGCCACCACCAAGCCCAUUUUCCCCUUCUGAUUCUUCACUACCGGUCGUGGUUGCUGCUCUCCUCUAGGACAGUCACUGGAAUUGGAGUUCUCUCCAACCACUGAUCUUCUUCUUCGGGUCGUGGACAGAAGCAGAGCAUUCAAGUCGUUCCUGUGGUCCCGUUUUGUUGUACCGUGCCCUAGCAGUGGUUAAAGUGGAGGAUGUUUCGGUCGCGAGGCAACUGUAGAGUCCUCAGAUUUGGGAGGGACAGUGAUUUCAUCUACGCUGGCAGAGAGUUAUACCAGCUAUACGUCAUUGGUGGAGCCAUCAAUUCUGGAUUUGAGUUGGAUGCGAUCUCUUGGACUUGUUGAGGACGGUUGAUACGACAUGCGUAUGA
Zingiber officinale is the source of this 839-nucleotide long non-coding RNA. RefSeq lists it as uncharacterized. The record is from RefSeq and is a predicted model, not a curated record. The transcript has 3 exons. Lineage: Eukaryota; Viridiplantae; Streptophyta; Magnoliopsida; Zingiberales; Zingiberaceae.